UGCAUGUCUUAGAACGAGGGAUCUCUCCGAAUCUGCGAAAGGCUCCGUAUAUCUGUUCUGACCCGCCGUCCACCACCGAGGUAGCGGAUACCCCCGGUAAUUCUGAGGUUAAUACGUGCAAUCGGGCGCCCUGUGAGCAACGGGGCGCCCCCAGGCUUGGACCACGCAGCGCCGGGGCGGUGUUCAUCGCCAGCAUUGAGCUGGGGCAGCCCGGGGAGGGCGGGGGGCGCCUUGAGCGCCCACCGCCGCCCCGCGGCCCCCCCGGGCAAAGACGUGAGGGAGUCCAAGUUCCUGGACCGCCUCCCAGCGAGGCGGCCGGACGGCGGGGGCCAGACCUAUCAACUAGACGGCCAGGGAUAGCCUGGCCGUGGUGAUAACGGGUACAGAGGAUCAGGGUUCGAUCCUGGAGAGGUAGCCUGAGAGAUCGCUACUACUUCUAAGGAAGGCAGCAGGCGCGCAACGUUCCCAAUGGGGAUACCCUGAGGACGUCAGGGGACAUAUCAAUGCCCGGCCUUUAAAGCCGGGCAAUUGACAUGGGGGAUAGCCAAACCUCCCACCGAGUAACAAU
Molecule: ribosomal RNA, 568 nt
Filed under: Ophiotheca pedata
Lineage: Eukaryota; Evosea; Eumycetozoa; Trichiida; Trichiidae
Description: bacterial SSU rRNA
Rfam family: Eukaryotic small subunit ribosomal RNA
Source: RNAcentral